Molecule: ribosomal RNA, 599 nt
Filed under: Trametes versicolor
Lineage: Eukaryota; Fungi; Basidiomycota; Agaricomycetes; Polyporales; Polyporaceae
Description: LSU rRNA
Rfam family: Eukaryotic large subunit ribosomal RNA
Source: RNAcentral
CUAACAAGGAUUCCCCUAGUAACUGCGAGUGAAGCGGGAAAAGCUCAAAUUUAAAAUCUGGCGGUCUUUGGCCGUCCGAGUUGUAGUCUGGAGAAGCGUCUUCCGCGUUGGACCGUGUACAAGUCUCUUGGAACAGAGCGUCAUAGAGGGUGAGAAUCCCGUCUUUGACACGGACUACCAAUGCUUUGUGAUGCGCUCUCAAAGAGUCGCGUUGUUUGGGAAUGCAGCGCAAAAUGGGAGGUGAAUUCCUUCUAAAGCUAAAUAUUGGCGAGAGACCGAUAGCGAACAAGUACCGUGAGGGAAAGAUGAAAAGCACUUUGGAAAGAGAGUUAAACAGUACGUGAAAUUGCUAAAAGGGAAACGCUUGAAGUCAGUCGCGUCGUCCGGAACUCAGCUUUGCUUCGGCUUAGUGCACUUUCCGGUUGACGGGCCAGCAUCGAUUUUGACCGCUGGAAAAGGGCUGGAGGAAUGUGGCACCUUCGGGUGUGUUAUAGCCUUCAGUCGCAUACAGCGGUUGGGAUCGAGGAACGCAGCGCGCCUUAUGGCUGGGGUUCGCCCACAUUCGCGCUUAGGAUGCUGGCAUAAUGGCUUUAAACGAC